Cygnus atratus (black swan) is the source of this 522-nucleotide long non-coding RNA. RefSeq lists it as uncharacterized. The record is from RefSeq and is a predicted model, not a curated record. NCBI's taxonomy places the organism in Eukaryota, Metazoa, Chordata, Aves, Anseriformes, Anatidae. The transcript is spliced from 2 exons.
CCGCCGGCCGGCGGCGCCUCAGGGGCGGCAGCAGCACCACCGACACCGCCGCCGCCAUGCGUGAGGAGGCCUGGGCUGGCCGCCGGCUCCGCGCUGCGGCUGCUGUUGCCAUGAUGGUGGCGUCACGGGCGCAACCAUCGCAAGACGAUGCGGGGAAGGAGGGGGAAGGAAGGCGCCGCCCGCCCCGCCCCGCCCCGGCUGUGUGAGGGGAAAUGUCCGCCCGCGGCUCGGCGCUCGGCCGAGCGGGCUGAGGGCGAGGCUGCGGAGCCCCGAGCCGCCGAUGGUGCUGAGGGGUGAGGGGCUUGAGGGGCUGAGGGGCUGAGGCAGCGCCGCGGCGGGGCGCAGGGCGGGCCCGGCCGCCAUUUUGGACGCCGAGCCGCCUCGCUGCGGGAAGGUCUUGCCUUGGCCUUGCAUCAGAAAAACCUACCAGUGAACAUGCGUACGGGAAAACACUUAAGUAUUCAAGAAAAUGAUAUCAUCUGAAAUGUAAAAAUGAAUAAAGAAUUACACGUAUGUAACAAA